Long non-coding RNA from Triticum dicoccoides, 1889 nucleotides. RefSeq lists it as uncharacterized. The transcript has 4 exons. The record is from RefSeq and is a predicted model, not a curated record. NCBI's taxonomy places the organism in Eukaryota, Viridiplantae, Streptophyta, Magnoliopsida, Poales, Poaceae.
AUCUUGUUAUUAAAGAUGUUAUGUUAUAUAAUGCGGCUACAUAAUUAUACUCUUAUAUGGUCAGCCAAGUGUUCUUCUGGAUAUACCUUUGUGCAAUGUAUAACUGAAGUAUGAUCAUUUCCUUGCAUAAACUAAGCAUACUAUUAAAAUUUUGUGUGUCAGGCCUUAAGAGUAGAUUGCCUUUUCUGUACUUUUGUGUUGCUUCAUCCAUUAAUUAUUUAUUAAAAUGUUAACACUUCAUUGUUAAUGUAUGGUUGUUUACCUUUUGGUGUCGACUUUCGACUUACUGAUUUGUGCAAUCAAAUAUAGAAAAGGAUCUCGUUUCGGACACGACAGCCUUGCUGAUGGCAUGCUUAAGGAUGACCUGAUGUUACUGAUGACACACAUUGAGUUACCUCGCACCAUCAUUUGGCCUUUCAAGCACUUGAUUUGCAUUAUUUUGAUGUAAUCAAAUAGUGUCCCUGCAUCUUAACAAGCCACCCAUUUAAUGUGUCAUCCUUUCCUUUUCUUUUCCUGGAGUUUUUUCAAUAAACAUCGAUGCACUUAUGGAUAGUACAUUGACGCUGAUGAUUCUAUCUUCUUUAUUUGAGAAUAUGAUAUUGUACAUGUAUUAUAGAUUGGAUUACAAAAUAGUGGUUGUAGUUCUUAUGAUUUGCAGUAGCUUAGGUCUGGUGCUGUGGCUUUAGCACAUAACAUGGAUCGGUUUUAAUAUUCUGUUCAUGCUCAUCUUCGCAUUUUAUAGGCAGGUUGUUUGGGAUAAUUUGUACUUUACUAAAUUACUGCUAAAGUGGUUUUGUUGAGAGUUGAAACUAUACCAAUGUUUUGCUUUCUGCUAAAGUCAAAGAUAUUGUAUCCUUGAAUGUUUUUCAAUUACCAACACAUGCCAAAUUCUGCAUAUUUGUUAAUGAUUUCGAUGCCUUCUGUUAGUUUUGCACUAUGGAAGUCAUUGUUUGCUAUGUAUGAAUAUUGGCUUAUUGGGUUUAGAAAACAUUGUAUAUUUUUUAUAUGCUCUCAGUUGAACACGUUUCGGUAUGUAGUGUACAUGGUAUAGGCAGGUAAGAAAACAACCUUAUUUAAGCUCAGGCCUGACUAGCGAUUAAGUCAUUAAAUUUUAGUGGGUAGGUAAAAGAGCAGCCCUAUUUUCGGUAUGCUUGACUUUCAGUAUUUUUGGUCACAGAUUUGUUGAUCUUGUUUACUGCCUCUAUCAAAAUAUUUGUACAAAUCCAGACUACAAAACGUCUUAUAUAUUGAUAGAGUGAGGACUACAGAUUGUGCUGGUGGCAACCUGGGGAAGACUUAUCGACGUGGAUACAGCCACAUUCCUUGACCGAAAUGAUCCAAACUAUGAUAGUAACAAGAUAGUUUGGUGCUCUCAUGGUUAUUUUGUAGAGAUUGUCCUUCUGUUCAUUAUUUGACAAUCAUCUACUGCAGCUCAGCUACUGUCCAGCUGCUUCCCUUAUGGCCUUUCAUUCUCACUGUGAUCCCCUGAGAUGCCUUGUGUAUUUGCGUUGUCCUCUGCUUCUGAUAAUGCAAGACAGAUCAAACCAAUGCAGCAAGACGAAACUUAAAAGGGGAUCUCGGACAAGUGGAAGGAGGGAAGUCGUCGUAAGAUAGAUAAUAAACUUGCCUCCGCUCUGACAAGAGCAUGUUCGUUCAGACCUUUUCUUACUAAAAGAUUUUUAUCUAUAGCAAGUGUUUCCAUUGGAACUAUCAAAUUCAAACUCCUAGAUGUCUAUGUCAGCAUGUAGGACUUUGUCCAGGCGGAGAUAUCCCCUCUGAUCUUUUUAUGAAUCCUUCCACACUUCUUUGUAAAGUGUUGCUGAUUUUAAUAAAAUCUCUCUAUUCAAAAGACAAUAUAAUUCAAGCUACUAGAGGAGCUUGUUCAUUCA